This is an RNA transcript of Piliocolobus tephrosceles (Ugandan red Colobus), 1251 nucleotides long. It is a transcript of the gene named BRCA2 and CDKN1A-interacting protein pseudogene, with no coding region annotated. The record is from RefSeq and is a predicted model, not a curated record. The transcript has a single exon. Lineage: Eukaryota; Metazoa; Chordata; Mammalia; Primates; Cercopithecidae.
AGCGGUAACAUGGCGUCCAGGUCUAAGCGGAGGGUCGUGGAAAGUGGGGUUCCGCAGCCGCCAGACCCCCUACUCCAGUGCGACAACGAAGAGGAAGAUGAAGUCGUGGAUGAGGACGAAGGCGAUGACGACAGUGACGAGGAAGAGGAUGAAGAGGACCACGUUAUUGACGAGGAAGUGAAUAUUGAAUUUGAAGCUUAUUCCCUAUCAGAUAAUGAUUAUGACGGAAUUAAGAAAUUACUGCAGCAGCUUUUUCUAAAGGCUCCUGUGAACACUGCAGAACUAACAGAUCUCUUAAUUCAACAGAACCAUAUUGGGAGUGUGAUUAAGCAAACGGAUGUUUCAGAAGACAGCGAUGAUGAUGUGGAUGAAGAUGAGGUUUUUGGUUUCAUAAGCCUUUUAAAUUUAACUGAAAGAAAGUGUACCCAGUGUGCUGAACAAAUUCAAGAGUUGAUUCUCAGCUUCUGUGAGAAGAAUUGUGAAAACAGCAUGGUUGAACAGCUGGACAAGUUUUUAAAUGACACCACCAAGCCUGUGGGCCUUCUCCUAAGUGAAAGAUUCAUUAAUAUCCUUCCACAGAUCGCUCUGCCCAUAUACCAGCAGCUUCAGAAAGAACUGGCGGAGGCACACAGAACCAAUAAGCCAUGUGGGAAGUGCUACUUUUACCUUCUGAUUAGUAAGACAUUUGUGGAAGCAGGAAAAAACAAUUCCAAAAAGAAACUUAGCAACAGAAAGAAAGCUGCGUUAAUGUUUGCAAAUGCAGAGGAAGAAUUUUUCUAUGAGCAGGAGCAGGGAAAACCUGAGGUGCUCGGAGGUCCAGACACAAGAAGAGGAUUGGAACCCGUUCCGAUACAGCACAAUGGUUGGUCUGUUCCCCUAGUAUUAGAAUAAAUUAAAACAUACAAGCCAGGAUGAAUGAAGCCAAUAGGAAAUUUAAAAACAAGCACACAUCAUUAUUUGGGGAAAAACACCUCUAGUGACAUAUUUUCUUCAUCUGCACUGAUUACUUCAGUAGAAGAAACCUACUAUGUUUUCAUACAUUUGAUGUAUAAAUUUGCUGAACUUUUAGUUUUCUUAUAUUAAGAUAAUUUUUCAUAUUAAGAAAAAUUUCCUUUUCUAACCUAUUAAAAUACCUCACUAUCAUUUCAAAAGGUUAAAUGACUUGAUCACCAUCUCUCCUAUUUUAUCCUCAAAAUAUAAUUUCAAAUGGAUCCCAUUUAAAUCUAUACCUAGUGCAGAUUUGCAAAAAAA